UACGUAGGGGGCUAGCGUUGUCCGGAUUUAUUGGGCGUAAAGAGCGUGUAGGCGGCCAUGUAGGUCCGGUGUGAAAACUCGAGGCUUAACCUCGAGAUGUCAUCGGAAACCAUUUGGCUAGAGUCCGGAAGAGGAGAGUGGAAUUCCUGGUGGUAGCGGUGAAAUGCGCAGAUAUCAGGAAGAACACCAAUGGCGAAAGCAGCUCUCUGGGACGGUACUGACGCUGAGACGCGAAAGCGUGGGGAGCGAACAGG
RNAcentral lists this ribosomal RNA (254 nucleotides) under uncultured bacterium. RNAcentral describes it as "partial 16S ribosomal RNA". It matches the Rfam family "Bacterial small subunit ribosomal RNA", at positions 524 to 776 of the family's 1533-position model. The record is from RNAcentral.